This is a long non-coding RNA of Bombus pascuorum, 1192 nucleotides long. RefSeq lists it as uncharacterized. Lineage: Eukaryota; Metazoa; Arthropoda; Insecta; Hymenoptera; Apidae. The transcript has 3 exons. The record is from RefSeq and is a predicted model, not a curated record.
UAAUGGCAAUUAAGCAGUGGAAAAAUUGAACUUACUGGUGUAAGAAUAUAAAAACAUAGCGCGUGUUUCAUUACUGGACUUAUUAUUAGGAAUAUUGACAUAUUCACGUUGCGAACGAGACGGCGCCACUCUGACGUUUGUAUCCUCAAUUAUUGAAAUAUUCGACCGUAAGUAUCGUAGAUGUCUAGUCAAGAUAAGUUCAAGGAAACAAGAAAUGCGGAAAGAUCGGUCACGUAGCGAAUCGUUCCCUGAAUAACAUAGUGUUUUGAAUGACAAAAAGCAGUAUACGAACAAUAGGCUCGUUAUGUAUGGUAAACAAACAGUAACGAUCUCAUCGAUACACUGUUAAUUCCACCUAAUUAUAAAUUUUACGUGAUUCUACCUUUCCUACAGAGGCACCAGCAAAACUAGCGUCACUGUACAAGCUCACGCUACGUACAACAUAAGAUGGCAUGCUCAUUCAUAAGAUUGCGAUAGGAGAUUAACACGACAAAAAUAAGAAGGAAUUUGAUUAUGGGGAAAAUAAAUGAUAAAAAGAAAAUGGCGAUAUGAAGGAUCUUGUACGGCCGCGAUAAAGAAAUCUUCGGCUAACCAGGAAUGGAAAUAGAAAGCACGCGGACAAUGACAGCAGGCUUGUCCAUGGUUAAUAAAUGUGAGCUCGCUAAUUGAUUCUAAGUAACCAAUAAAUUGCGCUGGCCGCAUUGUAAAAGUGGUUAUGGUGAACGUAUGCGUGUGGUCGAGCGUUAUCUUUCCGCUGGUGGUUUGUUCGUUUUUCCCUCCCGAGAUCGCCUGCGCCUGUCGGCCGGCGCGUUAUCAUAAAAGCCCGCGCUUUUCCUCGCUCGUUUAAAAAUGGCGGUCUCAAUCGACGCUUCUCGCCAGUGGUAAUAUGGUCAUCGUAUCGAGUAGAAUAUCGCGAGGAUAUCGUGAAACAUCGUCCCAGCUAUCAAGGCAAUAUAUUGCGAUUCUUCAAAAAGAUAUUUUAUUGCGAAAAGGUUAUCACGUGGUAUUAUGUUUUGCAGAAUUUUUUAAGUUAUCGAAUGGAAUGGACUAUGAAGGUUCACAACACAAGGUCUUUUCUAUUCCGCAAUAAUAAAACACGGGACUCUCGGUAUUUAUGGACUACGAACUAUUUCUUUUUAUAAAAGUCUCAAAGUUACUUUGCAUGCAACAACGACUUUUGCUCACAUAGAUU